UCGACUUCGCCGCUACCAGGAGAAAUAUUUUGAUCCUGUUGCUUUUGGCUUGGAUCUUGUCUUGCUGGUGUGAUCGCCUAGGAACUCUUUCAUUGUGAGGUAGUCUCAAUCCACUAUAGGAGGAACCGCUUAUCGUUGUCUCGCUUUGCUGCUUCGGUUUGCUUUGUGUAAGGCAUUCCAGUCAUGGUUUUGAUUUGGUAGGUAUGGAGUUUGUGCUAGAUUCCAGAUUUAAUUUGUUGAGUCUCUUGUUUUAGUUUUCAUUUAUUCCUUGUUUCUUUCCCUGUAAUUUAGGGCCUCGUUUCCCUUGUUUGGGUUUAGUUUCUGGGGGUUAAAGUCCCGCCGGCUUAGUUUCUAGGGGUUAAAGUCCCGCCGACCUUUGUAUUCCGACAAUGUAAUUCACCUUUGUUAUAUAAUCAUUCAGACGAAAAAAAAAGG
RNAcentral lists this long non-coding RNA (435 nucleotides) under Arabidopsis lyrata. Its description in RNAcentral is "long non-coding RNA (ALYR_LNC000448)". Lineage: Eukaryota; Viridiplantae; Streptophyta; Magnoliopsida; Brassicales; Brassicaceae. The record is from RNAcentral.